GAUGAACGCUGGCGGUAUGCUUAACACAUGCAAGUCGAACGGUACCUUCGGGUAUAGUGGCGGACGGGUGAGUAACGCGUGAGAAGCUAUCUUCAGGUCGGGGACAACAGAUAGAAAUGAAUGCUAAUACAGGAUGUGCCGAAAGGUAAAAGAUUUAUUGCCUGAAAAAGAGCUCGCGUCAGAUUAGCUAGUAGGUGGUGUAAGAGACUACCUAGGCUUCGAUCUGUAGCUGGUCUGAGAGGACGAUCAGCCACACUGGAACUGAGACACGGUCCAGACUCCUACGGGAGGCAGCAGUGGGGAAUUUUCCGCAAUGGGCGAAAGCCUGACGGAGCAAUACCGCGUGAGGGACGAAGGCUCUUGGGUCGUAAACCUCUUUUCUCAAGGAAGAUUCAGACGGUACUUGAGGAAUAAGCAUCGGCUAACUCUGUG
RNAcentral lists this ribosomal RNA (432 nucleotides) under uncultured bacterium. RNAcentral describes it as "partial 16S ribosomal RNA". It matches the Rfam family "Bacterial small subunit ribosomal RNA", at positions 28 to 507 of the family's 1533-position model. The record is from RNAcentral.